AUUGAACGCUGGCGGCAGGCCUAACACAUGCAAGUCGAGCGGAUGAAGGGAGCUUGCUCCUGGAUUCAGCGGCGGACGGGUGAGUAAUGCCUAGGAAUCUGCCUGGUAGUGGGGGAUAACGUCCGGAAACGGGCGCUAAUACCGCAUACGUCCUGAGGGAGAAAGUGGGGGAUCUUCGGACCUCACGCUAUCCGAUAAGCCUAGGUCGGAUUAGCUAGUUGGUGGGGUAAAGGCCUACCAAGGCGACGAUCCGUAACUGGUCUGAGAGGAUGAUCAGUCACACUGGAACUGAGACACGGUCCAGACUCCUACGGGAGGCAGCAGUGGGGAAUAUUGGACAAUGGGCGAAAGCCUGAUCCAGCCAUGCCGCGUGUGUGAAGAAGGUCUUCGGAUUGUAAAGCACUUUAAGUUGGGAGGAAGGGCAGUAAGUUAAUACCUUGCUGUUUUGACGUUACCAACAGAAUAAGCACCGGCUAACUUCGUG
RNAcentral lists this ribosomal RNA (484 nucleotides) under uncultured bacterium. Its description in RNAcentral is "partial 16S ribosomal RNA". It matches the Rfam family "Bacterial small subunit ribosomal RNA", at positions 30 to 507 of the family's 1533-position model. The record is from RNAcentral.